AGCAGCCGCGGUAAUUCCAGCUCCAAUAGCGUAUAUUAAAGUUGCUGCAGUUAAAAAGCUCGUAGUUGAAUUUCGGGAUCAAUAUGUCGGUCGUGCCUCGGUACGUACUGGCUUAUUGGUUUCUCCUUUCUGAAGAACCAUGAUGUCAUUUAUUUGGUGUCGUGGGAAAUCAGGACUGUUACUUUGAAAAAAUUAGAGUGUUUAAAGCAGGCUCACGCUUGAAUACAUUAGCAUGGAAUAAUGAAAUAGGACGUUUGAUUCUAUUUUGUUGGUUUCUAGGAUCGACGUAAUGAUUAAUAGGGAUAGUUGGGGGCAUUAGUAUUCAAUUGUCAGAGGUGAAAUUCUUGGAUUUAUUGAAGACUAACUACUGCGAAAGCAUUUGCCAAGGAUGUUUUCAUUAAUCAAGAACGAAAGUUAGGGGAUCGAAGACGAUCAGAUACCGUCGUAGUCUUAACCAUAAACUAUGCCGACUAGGGAUCGGAUGAUGUUAAUUUUUUAAUGACUCAUUCGGCGCCUUACG
Molecule: non-coding RNA, 520 nt
Filed under: uncultured Glomus
Lineage: Eukaryota; Fungi; Glomeromycota; Glomeromycetes; Glomerales; Glomeraceae
Also listed under: 2 other names
Description: SSU rRNA
Rfam family: Eukaryotic small subunit ribosomal RNA
Source: RNAcentral